CCUACGGGAGGCUGCAGUGGGGAAUAUUGCACAAUGGGGGAAACCCUGAUGCAGCGACGCCGCGUGAGUGAAGAAGUAUUUCGGUAUGUAAAGCUCUAUCAGCAGGGAAGAAAAUGACGGUACCUGACUAAGUAGCUCCGGCUAACUACGUGCCAGCAGCCGCGGUAAUACGUAGGGGGCAAGCGUUAUCCGGAUUUACUGGGUGGAAAGGGAGCGUAGACGGUGAUGCAAGUCAGAAGUGAAUGCCCGGGGGUUAACUCCGGGACUGCUUUUGAUACUGUGUGACUGGAGUGCAGGAGAGGUAAGCGGAAUUCCUGGUGUAGCGGUGAAAUGCGUAGAUAUCAGGAGGAACACCAGUGGCGAAGGCGGCUUACUGGACAGUAACUGACGUUGAAGCUCGAAAGCGUGGGGAGCAAACAGGAUUAGAUACCCCGGUAGUC
RNAcentral lists this ribosomal RNA (440 nucleotides) under uncultured bacterium. RNAcentral's name for it is "partial 16S ribosomal RNA". It matches the Rfam family "Bacterial small subunit ribosomal RNA", at positions 338 to 795 of the family's 1533-position model. The record is from RNAcentral.